Molecule: ribosomal RNA, 561 nt
Filed under: Sphingobium sp. AMGD5
Lineage: Bacteria; Pseudomonadati; Pseudomonadota; Alphaproteobacteria; Sphingomonadales; Sphingobiaceae
Description: bacterial SSU rRNA
Rfam family: Bacterial small subunit ribosomal RNA
Source: RNAcentral
AACGGACGCUAAUACCGGAUGACGACGAAAGUCCAAAGAUUUAUCGCCCAGGGAUGAGCCCGCGUAGGAUUAGCUAGUUGGUGAGGUAAAGGCUCACCAAGGCGACGAUCCUUAGCUGGUCUGAGAGGAUGAUCAGCCACACUGGGACUGAGACACCGCCCAGACUCCUACGGGAGGCAGCAGUAGGGAAUAUUGGACAAUGGGGGCAACCCUGAUCCAGCAAUGCCGCGUGAGUGAUGAACGCCUUAGGGUUGUAAAGCUCUUUUACCCGGGAUGAUAAUGACGGUACCGGGAGAAUAAGCCCCGGCUAACUCCGUGCCAGCAGCCGCGGUAAUACGGAGGGGGCUAGCGUUGUUCGGAAUUACUGGGCGUAAAGCGCACGUAGGCGGCGAUUUAAGUCAGAGGUGAAAGCCCGGGGCUCAACCCCGGAAUAGCCUUUGAGACUGGAUUGCUUGAAAUCGCAGAGGUGAGUGGAAUUCCGAGUGUAGAGGUGAAAUUCGUAGAUAUUCGGAAGAACACCUGUGGCUAAGGCGGCUCACUGGACGAUUGUUGACGCUGAGG